Molecule: ribosomal RNA, 122 nt
Filed under: Notamacropus eugenii (tammar wallaby)
Lineage: Eukaryota; Metazoa; Chordata; Mammalia; Diprotodontia; Macropodidae
Source: RNAcentral
AGAGAUGUCCAUACCACUUUGAACAAAUUCAAUCUUACCAGAUCUUAGAAACAAAGCAAGGUCAUUCCUGGUUUGUAUUUGGUUGGAAUUCUGCCUGGGAACUCUCAGAGCGGUUGUCUUUU